GUUGUUUUUUUAUUUUUAUUUUUAUUUUUUUUUAUUUAAAUAUGGUAAAGAAAUACAGAAUCUGAAGGGAAAAUUACAUGCUAGGUUGAAGUAAACUAAAUUCAGCCAUGGAUGGCUAGAAACAAGUUUUCUAGAUGUUUUAAUAAUUGAAGGCUAAAUGUCCAUCCACAUUACUUUGACAUUUUCUAAAAUUUUUGAAGUGUUGCCUUGAAUGUCAUUUUUAAUACACAUUUUCCUUCAACAAAACACAGGUAGCUAGAAGAAGGGAAAAGGAAAAGAAAAAUAUCAGUUUUCAAGUCAAGUGUGCUUUAAGUUGAUGCAGAAUUUAUUGCUUUGUUGAACUUCUCAUAUUCUUAUCCCCAAAUUUCUCUUACUGUGAAAUUUCAAGAGAUUUUUUUUUUUUUUCCAGUUUUUGUUCCAGCUAGCAAUCUGAAGAUUCUGUUACUGCAAGGUCUCUGAAUAGCACCCAGAAGAUGGAAAGUAUCUGCUUUUGAGUUGAAACCGGUACAUUUUUGGAGAACAUACUGUAGUGCAGGAAGAUGUAUUUCUUCCAUAAUAAGUAAUGCUCAGAAGAAAAACUUGUUCUUGAUAUACAUAAAUUUUUGGGAUGAGAAGAAAGGAGAAGAAACCUGUGAUGGAGACUUGAAAAAAAAAGUGAAUUUACUACCAGAGGACAACAGUAUCUAGACACAAAAAUAACAGAACAAAACAGAAAUUUACGGUUGUGGAGUGCUGUUGCCUGUCUUUCUGCUGAGGAUCAGUGUAAGCUCUGGGCCCAGGAAAUAUUUUUUGAGUGAUCUCUGUGUAAGAGGGGAGGUGGAAGUUUUGGUCUGCAUCUGCAUCCUUCUGUGCUAGUUCCUGGCCAACUGCAAAGCCCUCAGCUGCUGCUGCCCUGUUUCCGCAUAUGGCACCUGUGACUGUGAGGUACUGGGAUCUAAACAGAUUGUUUGAGAAUCUCUGCUCUGAUGUGUUUCUUUAUUUCUGUGUGAAAUAUCCUGC
RNAcentral lists this long non-coding RNA (999 nucleotides) under Coturnix japonica (Japanese quail). Its description in RNAcentral is "lncRNA (ENSCJPG00005017569.1)". Lineage: Eukaryota; Metazoa; Chordata; Aves; Galliformes; Phasianidae. The record is from RNAcentral.